RNAcentral lists this ribosomal RNA (99 nucleotides) under Acinetobacter schindleri. Lineage: Bacteria; Pseudomonadati; Pseudomonadota; Gammaproteobacteria; Moraxellales; Moraxellaceae. The record is from RNAcentral. RNAcentral also lists the same sequence under 2 other names.
AGAGUGAACCACCUGAUCCCUUCCCGAACUCAGAAGUGAAACCUCUUAGCGCUGAUGGUAGUGUGGGGUUUCCCAUGUGAGAGUAAGUCAUCGCCAGCU